UUGAAGCCGCAUGCAUUAUUCGCCUGGCGAUAAACUUGGUUUGAAACAAUUGCAUGAUACCAUGCAUAAGUGUUAGCGUCAUUUGAUUGUUCGUUGUUGGUUUUCCUUCUCCAUUCCCAACUCAUGUGAUCUCAAAACCUACAUCUCACAUAUGUUUCAGAAAGAAAAAAAAAACAAAAGAAUAUUUUCGGGAAAAAAAUAUCGUAAACCCUAAUCUCUUCUUUCUCCAUCCUUUCCUCUCCAGUCUCCACCUUUGUUCUUCGUUAUCUUGUAUGAGGGUUUAUGUCUGUUGUGUAAUGGAGAGAAAGAAAAAAAACGUACUUAGCAUUCUCAUCUCUUCAGGAACAUAUCCACAUAUACAGCUUACUAAUGUCAUCUUAGGAUGGUAAUUACAAAGCGCAUACAAGGUGUUAUUUUUCAAUGGAACCUAGGAUGAGGACGGAAGGAAAAUAAAACACUGGGCAAAGAUGGAUUACACCCUAUUUGAUGAGGCUCAACAAAAGGUGAAGAUCUUGGAAGUCUGGCAGCCGUUAAUGCGGUUUCUAUAAGUUCACAAGUUAAAGCUUUACGUAUGUUACUAGCAUAUGAGAUGCCAGUUCAGUGUACAAGUGUUUGGCAUUUUGUGGUGAUUUUCUUUAUAUGUUGGCGAUUCCUCAGCAAGGUCUAACCGUAAUCAUGGUCACUGAGGUACCUUAAAGUCAGAUGUCGAGUCACUUCAAAUCAUGGAGACAAAAUAUGGUUCCGUUCAGAAGGCCUGGGAAUUUAGAAGGGUGUCUGUUCUCUAUGUAACAACUCAUUUGAGUAAUAGUUUAGAAGCAGUAGUGUUCAUUUCAGUGUAUGCAUAUGGGUGCCUGUGUGAGGGCUCAGGUUGUAAGGCAAGAUGUUUCCCAGUUCUUGGACGUCUUUAGCUAAGCAUGAAAAAACUGACGAGAAAGAUAACAUAUAUCUUUAAAACUUAAACUU
Papaver somniferum (opium poppy) is the source of this 963-nucleotide long non-coding RNA. RefSeq lists it as uncharacterized. NCBI's taxonomy places the organism in Eukaryota, Viridiplantae, Streptophyta, Magnoliopsida, Ranunculales, Papaveraceae. The transcript is spliced from 6 exons. The record is from RefSeq and is a predicted model, not a curated record.